Molecule: long non-coding RNA, 328 nt
Organism: Sapajus apella (tufted capuchin)
Lineage: Eukaryota; Metazoa; Chordata; Mammalia; Primates; Cebidae
Exons: 3
Source: RefSeq, a predicted model, not a curated record
GUUGGUUUCCAGGUGCAGUUGGAGAUAUGAAGGGCUCAAGGCUACUGGAAUGCACUCAGAUGGAGCAAAUUUAUCCAGGCUGGACAGUGGAGGCUGUACCAUGUACAUGCCCCUACAGGGUAAAACUGGAGCAGCUUUUACUCUAAGGCUAAUUAUUUCCCACCACUAAGGAUUUGAAAUGGAAUAAUAAAGGCCUGAUUUGCAAAGUGGUAUGUAGAACCUACUUAGCAACAGGAAUAAGGCUAGGACUACAAAUGAGAAAAGCACUACAGUAUCAAUCUGUUUUGUAAAUUCUGGUGAGAGCAGAUUAUUAAGUGUUUGACAUACU